UAAAAAUUAGGAAAUGGAAGAUUAAUAUAAUAAUAUUAUUAAAAACCCACCAACCACCAUUGGUGGGUUUUUAAUAAUAUUAUUAUAUUAAUCUUCCAUUUCCUAAUUUUUAGGGAAAAGGGGGGAUAAACUUAAUAUGAUCAGGAAAUAUAUAUAGUUAUGUACCGUAAUGUAAACCGACUCAGGUAUGUUAGUAGAGAAUAUGAAGGUGUAUUAGAUAAUUAAAGGGAAGGAACUCGGCAAAAAUAGCUCUAACGUUAGUCAAUAAAGAGUAAUAAGAACAAAGUUGUACAACUGUUUACUAAAAACACCGCACUUUGCGAAAACGAUAAGUUAAUGUAUAAGGUGUGAACUCUGCUCCAUGCUUAAUAUAUAAAUAAUAUUAUUAUAAUGAUAAUAUUAUUAAAUUUAAGUAAAUAGCAGCCUUAUUAUGAGGGUUCUAAGGUAGCGAAAUUCAUUGUCCAAUAAAUAUGGUCCUGCAUGAAUGACGUAAUGAUACAACAACUGUCUCCCCUUUAAGCUAAGUUAAAUUAAAUUCGUAGUGAAGAUUCUGCGAACCUAUAGUGUGACGGAAAGACCCUAUGCAGCUUUACUGUAAUUAGAUAGAUCGAAUAAUUGUUUAUUUUAUUCAGUAUAUUAAGUAAUUUAUUAUAAUGCAAAUGAGAUACUUAUUUAAAUAAUAUAAUUAUUCUAAUCUUACAUAUUUAAUAUUAAUUGAUAUUUUAUUCUUAAUAUUAUCUCUUUUG
RNAcentral lists this ribosomal RNA (746 nucleotides) under Brenneria bubanii. RNAcentral's name for it is "partial 23S ribosomal RNA". It matches the Rfam family "Bacterial large subunit ribosomal RNA", at positions 1448 to 2279 of the family's 2925-position model. The record is from RNAcentral. Lineage: Bacteria; Pseudomonadati; Pseudomonadota; Gammaproteobacteria; Enterobacterales; Pectobacteriaceae.